This 252-nucleotide ribosomal RNA is filed under the name uncultured bacterium. Its description in RNAcentral is "partial 16S ribosomal RNA". It matches the Rfam family "Bacterial small subunit ribosomal RNA", at positions 524 to 775 of the family's 1533-position model. The record is from RNAcentral.
UACGAAGGUGGCAAGCGUUACUCGGAAUUACUAGGCGUAAAGGGCAGGUAGGUGGUCUGAUAAGUCUGUUGUGAAAGCUCCCGGCUUAACUGGGAGAGGUCAACAGAAACUAUCAGGCUUGAGUAUAGGAGAGGGUACUGGAAUUCCCGGUGUAGCGGUGAAAUGCGCAGAUAUCGGGAGGAACACCAAUGGCGAAAGCAGGUACCUGGACUAUUACUGACACUCAGCUGCGAAAGCUAGGGGAGCAACAGG